This 255-nucleotide small RNA is filed under the name Marmota monax (woodchuck). Its description in RNAcentral is "7SK RNA". It matches the Rfam family "7SK RNA". Rfam says of the family: 7SK was discovered as an abundant small nuclear RNA in the mid-70s but a possible function has only recently been suggested. Two independent studies have found that 7SK RNA binds the CDK9/cyclin T complex (known as elongation factor P-TEFb). The record is from Rfam by way of RNAcentral. Lineage: Eukaryota; Metazoa; Chordata; Mammalia; Rodentia; Sciuridae.
AUAAAGAGAAACAUCUGGACAUCUGCCACCCCACUGAUCUUCAGAGUGGAUUGGCUGAUCUGGCUGACCAGGUGGGUGUGGCCUUCCUGCCUCACCACUGCAUGUGUAUCCCUCCUGGAGCCACAGACUGGGAGAAGACAACCUGUGGGGGACAGUUUCCUGCCAGAACCUCCAACAAACCCUUAAGAGGCACAAGAGUUGAAAAUGCAUGCGAUGUAUCUUACCCUCUGACUGCCAUCAGCUUAAAAGCUCGUU